This 429-nucleotide ribosomal RNA is filed under the name Pseudomonadota bacterium. RNAcentral describes it as "Proteobacteria bacterium partial 16S ribosomal RNA". It matches the Rfam family "Bacterial small subunit ribosomal RNA", at positions 355 to 776 of the family's 1533-position model. The record is from RNAcentral. Lineage: Bacteria; Pseudomonadati; Pseudomonadota.
UGGGGAAUAUUGGACAAUGGGCGGAAGCCUGAUCCAGCCAUGCCGCGUGUGUGAAGAAGGUCUUCGGAUUGUAAAGCACUUUAAGUUGGGAGGAAGGGCAGUAAGCGAAUACCUUGCUGUUUUGACGUUACCGACAGAAUAAGCACCGGCUAACUCUGUGCCAGCAGCCGCGGUAAUACAGAGGGUGCAAGCGUUAAUCGGAAUUACUGGGCGUAAAGCGCGCGUAGGUGGUUCGUUAAGUUGAAUGUGAAAGCCCCGGGCUCAACCUGGGAACUGCAUCCAAAACUGGCGAGCUAGAGUAGGGCAGAGGGUGGUGGAAUUUCCUGUGUAGCGGUGAAAUGCGUAGAUAUAGGAAGGAACACCAGUGGCGAAGGCGACCACCUGGGCUCAUACUGACACUGAGGUGCGAAAGCGUGGGGAGCAAACAGG